Gallus gallus (chicken) is the source of this 1088-nucleotide long non-coding RNA. The record is from Ensembl. NCBI's taxonomy places the organism in Eukaryota, Metazoa, Chordata, Aves, Galliformes, Phasianidae.
CUGAUGUUGCUAGGUUUGUGACUCCAGCCCUCACAGCAGUACCAGUGCACAGAAAUGCAUCUAUCAGCCCAUGCAGAAGUAUGGGAUGGGCAGUCUCCAGUGAAAACUUGUCAUUUCCUGAUAUUUCUGAGGCUAGAAAUCAUGGUCAUUUAUCUCAGUGCUCUGCUCUUCUCUGUUAUCAGACCCCCAGUUCUCUGCCACAUCAGCUCUCCCCCAGCAGAGAUGCCUAUGACAGCACAGAUCCAUUUAUCUUCUCCAGGAAGUUUCCCCCAAGAGGAGCCCAAGGACCCUGCAGGUCAGCUCCUGGAAAGACGCAGACACCUUGGAUUCCCGGAGAUAAAGCUGCCAUUAAAAAGGCAUAAACAAAGGACAUGAAAAUCCAACUUGGUGAAGACAGCUUUAUCAAAGAGACAUUUGCUCAUCGUUACUGUGUGACACCGCAUCAGUGCUUCUCGUGUAUACGCAGUCUGGUCUGUAAUUUCAAAGAGUGCCUUCCAUUUCUUUGAGGAGGUGAUAUGACCAAGACAUUUGAAGUUGUUGAUUAUUAUGCAAAAGGUUAUCCAAACUGUGAAGAUAAGAAGCAACUUCAAGCAUUUCAAGGAGUCUCAUUUGUUUGGCGAUACGUUCUCCUCAAAGUUACAUGAUGUCAUGGGCCCAAUUUCAAGUGAUUAGUAACAACAGCAAAGCAGUCACUGAAAUAAUCUUUGAUAGAAGAGAGAACUCUGCAACCGUAUGAAGAGGCUGUGCUAUCAGUCGUUUUCUCAGCAUUAACAAAGUCUGAGCCUGCAGGCUUCACCCCACCACCACACCUGCUUCCGUCUUUGCUUUCCAAAGAGCUAUCCAGGCAGUCUGCAGAAGGGGAGCUUGAUGGAGUGCAGCUCGACCUUUUUAAUUUGAGCAAUCUUACAUUUAUCUCCUUCAUGUUGGAUUACCUCACUCACACUUUUUAUUUAAAUCCAUUCUCCUGACUUCAUUACUGAACAAUCUGCUUCUUGGGGAAGUGUGGAACAACUGAAUCUGUACAAAAGAAGUUUAAAACUAGUUGAGCUGAAACAAUGUCCUUGUUUUCUUUUUAUUUUAUAUAUUUU